CAUUAGAUGACUGAAAGUAAGUAAUGGUCUCUUAAACCAAAUUAUAGUAGUUAACGAUUACUUCUAAUG
RNAcentral lists this transfer RNA (69 nucleotides) under Tenebrionoidea sp. 14 KM-2017. Its description in RNAcentral is "tRNA-Lys". The record is from RNAcentral. Lineage: Eukaryota; Metazoa; Arthropoda; Insecta; Coleoptera.